Molecule: ribosomal RNA, 108 nt
Filed under: uncultured bacterium
Lineage: Bacteria
Description: partial 16S ribosomal RNA
Rfam family: Bacterial small subunit ribosomal RNA
Source: RNAcentral
CCUUGUACACACCGCCCGUCACACCAUGGAAGCCCGUUGUACCGGGGAAGCCGGUGCGCCAACCCGUAAGGGAGGUAGCCGUUCAUGGUAUGACUGGUGACUGGGGUG